AUUGAACGCUGGCGGCAGGCCUAACACAUGCAAGUCGAGCGGAUGAAGGGAGCUUGCUCCUGGAUUCAGCGGCGGACGGGUGAGUAAUGCCUAGGAAUCUGCCUGGUAGUGGGUGAUAACGUCCGGAAACGGGCGCUAAUACCGCAUAAGUCCUGAGGCAGAAGGUGGGGGAGCUUCGGACCUCACGCUAUCAGAUGAGCCUAGGUCGGAUUAGCUAGUUGGUGGGGUAAAGGCCUACCAAGGCGACGAUCCGUAACUGGUCUGAGAGGAUGGUAAGUCCAACUGGAACGGAGACACGGUCCAGACUCCUACGGGAGGCAGCAGUGGGGAAUGUCGGACAAUGGGCGAAAGCCUGGUUCAGCCAUGCCGCGUGUGUGAAGAAGGUCUUCGGAUUGGAAAGCACUUUAAGUUGGGAGGAAGGGCAGUAAGUUAAUACCUUGCUGUUUUGACGUUACCAACAGAAUAAGCACCGGCUAACUUCGUG
This 484-nucleotide ribosomal RNA is filed under the name uncultured bacterium. RNAcentral's name for it is "partial 16S ribosomal RNA". It matches the Rfam family "Bacterial small subunit ribosomal RNA", at positions 30 to 507 of the family's 1533-position model. The record is from RNAcentral.